Molecule: non-coding RNA, 186 nt
Organism: Otolemur garnettii (small-eared galago)
Lineage: Eukaryota; Metazoa; Chordata; Mammalia; Primates; Galagidae
Source: Rfam
AAGACUAUACUUUCAGGGAUCAUUACUGGAGAAUUUUCUCUAAACAUAUAAACCAUGAGGAGGAAGCCCAGUGUUCGCUCCUGGACCUGAAGCUGGCUCUGGUGUUGCUUUACUGCAGCUGUCAUUUACCAUCAAUUCUUCUCUACCUCUGGGAGAGUAAGAGAGAGAAGAUUCAGACUGACUGGG